This 509-nucleotide ribosomal RNA is filed under the name uncultured bacterium. Its description in RNAcentral is "bacterial SSU rRNA". It matches the Rfam family "Bacterial small subunit ribosomal RNA", at positions 36 to 518 of the family's 1533-position model. The record is from RNAcentral.
CUGGCGGCGUGCCUAAUACAUGCAAGUCGAACGGUCUUUCUAUGGAAGCUUGCUUCCACUGAGAAGAUAGUGGCGAACGGGUGAGUAACACGUGGGUAACCUGCCCAUAAGAGGGGGAUAACAUCCGGAAACGGGUGCUAAUACCGCAUAGUUUUCUUGAUCGCAUGAUCGGGAAAGGAAAGACGGCCUUUGUGCUGUCGCUUAUGGAUGGACCCGCGGCGUAUUAGUUAGUUGGUGAGGUAACGGCUCACCAAGACGAUGAUACGUAGCCGACCUGAGAGGGUGAUCGGCCACAUUGGGACUGAGACACGGCCCAAACUCCUACGGGAGGCAGCAGUAGGGAAUCUUCCGCAAUGGACGAAAGUCUGACGGAGCAACGCAGCGUGAGUGAAGAAAGGUUUUCGGAUCGUAAAACUCUGUUGUCAGAGAAGAACAAGUUGGAGAGUAACUGCUCCAGCCUUGACGGUAUCUGACCAGAAAGCCACGGCUAACUACGUGCCAGCAGCGGC